UGGGGAAUAUUGCACAAUGGGCGCAAGCCUGAUGCAGCCAUGCCGCGUGUGUGAAGAAGGCCUUCGGGUUGUAAAGCACUUUCAGCGGGGAGGAAGGCGUUAAGGUUAAUAACCUUGGCGAUUGACGUUACCCGCAGAAGAAGCACCGGCUAACUCCGUGCCAGCAGCCGCGGUAAUACGGAGGGUGCAAGCGUUAAUCGGAAUUACUGGGCGUAAAGCGCACGCAGGCGGUCUGUCAAGUCGGAUGUGAAAUCCCCGGGCUCAACCUGGGAACUGCAUUCGAAACUGGCAGGCUAGAGUCUUGUAGAGGGGGGUAGAAUUCCAGGUGUAGCGGUGAAAUGCGUAGAGAUCUGGAGGAAUACCGGUGGCGAGGGCGGCCCCCUGGACAAAGACUGACGCUCAGGUGCGAAAGCGUGGGGAGCAAACAGG
This 429-nucleotide ribosomal RNA is filed under the name Chloroflexota bacterium. RNAcentral's name for it is "Chloroflexi bacterium partial 16S ribosomal RNA". It matches the Rfam family "Bacterial small subunit ribosomal RNA", at positions 355 to 776 of the family's 1533-position model. Lineage: Bacteria; Bacillati; Chloroflexota. The record is from RNAcentral.